This 389-nucleotide long non-coding RNA is filed under the name Junco hyemalis (dark-eyed junco). Its description in RNAcentral is "lncRNA (ENSJHYG00000013844.1)". Lineage: Eukaryota; Metazoa; Chordata; Aves; Passeriformes; Passerellidae. The record is from RNAcentral.
GUUUACCUUCCUUAUCGCCUCGGGGGUUUGGCAGGGGGGGAUUUCUGUGUCUGGCUGCUGUCUUGCAAGGCUGAUGUUGGGAAAGCCCACCUUGGAUUUACAGCUUUGCUCUCCCAUGAAGCAGCAGCAGCGCUUGAGAGCAGAAAUGAGAGGCCCUGGCAGGACUACAAAGGGCUCCGGAGGAGCAGGUACGCCGGGGAUGAGGUCGAAUUCUGCCCUGAUUUACACCCCAUAACCUGGCAGCAGCUAAAGUUUUGCAGACAACCCGACGAGAUAAUCAUCACACGCUGGCAAUCACUUGCCAUCAAUUAUCCCCACGCUGCUGCUGUCAGUGGAUCACAGCCCCUACCUGGUGGGAGUCACUGCUGGUGCCACCGAGGCAUUUUCCA